Caretta caretta (loggerhead turtle) is the source of this 456-nucleotide long non-coding RNA. RefSeq lists it as uncharacterized. The record is from RefSeq and is a predicted model, not a curated record. Lineage: Eukaryota; Metazoa; Chordata; Testudines; Cheloniidae.
GGUGUUACACAAGCGAUGCAGUCUGUCUGGAGGAGGAAGAUAUUGUGAGCGUCUCUUAUCCACACAUACCUUCCCAGAUGCUCCAAACAGUCACAUUAGUGCUGACUCUGAAAGAACUUGUCUGCCCAUCCAUCACCUCUAAGAAGAGGAGGAAGAGGAAGGACACUGAAGUACUGAGGAGGAGGACAGCAUUUGGUGAAGAAGAUGAAAACAAACUUGACAUUUUUUGGAUAGAAAAGGAAUUUAAAAGACUGGUACAGUCUGACCACUGUGAAAUGAACAUGUUGGCUUAGGAAGAGACUAUUUGAGCUGCAGCUGGUAGUGCCAUUCUGGAUGCUUUUUGUGGAGAGUACAGAACUCAGCAUAUCUGACCUUUACCUUGAAUCACCUCAUCAGAAAGAAGUGAGCAAAAAGAAAAAAAAAGAAAAAAGAAAGAAAGAAAGAAAAAGAAAACCC